RNAcentral lists this transfer RNA (73 nucleotides) under Dipodomys ordii (Ord's kangaroo rat). It matches the Rfam family "tRNA". Rfam says of the family: Transfer RNA (tRNA) molecules are approximately 80 nucleotides in length. Their secondary structure includes four short double-helical elements and three loops (D, anti-codon, and T loops). Lineage: Eukaryota; Metazoa; Chordata; Mammalia; Rodentia; Heteromyidae. The record is from Rfam by way of RNAcentral.
GGAAGCGUGGUUCAAUUUGUAGAGCUUCUGCCUGGCAAACAUAGGGCUCUGAAUUCAAACAUCAGUGCUACCA